RNAcentral lists this long non-coding RNA (1070 nucleotides) under Anser brachyrhynchus (Pink-footed goose). RNAcentral's name for it is "lncRNA (ENSABRG00000021804.1)". Lineage: Eukaryota; Metazoa; Chordata; Aves; Anseriformes; Anatidae. The record is from RNAcentral.
GAAGAAAUUGCGAUGCUACUGUUCUGACCGCCCCCAUAAACAUAUGGAAAACUGGGAAGGGAGAAGUGUGGGCAAUUAACAGGCACCUCACCUAGUCCCAGCAUUCCUUGUUUCUUCUUUUCCCCUACUUAAGACAAAAAACAACAAAACUAACUCAAACCAGAAGCAAACAGUUCCUCACUUUCUAGGGUGGCCUUGCAGAUAUAAAUACUGAGUUCAAAGUUGAGAAUUGCAAGAGACUGAUAAAGGGAUGAAGGCACAGAUGAACUGUAGCCACUCUCAUUCAUCACUCAGCUCAAGAGUGCUGCAUGUGUAAAAAGAUUGGCCUAGAAAGCUGGAGCUGAACCAUGACGAGAUGAUGUGCACUUUCCUUGAGAAAACUCCUGCAGAAGUCAGUGAUUUCUUGUUUGAACUAGGGCAUUAAUAUCAUCUUGGUAUGGUUUUCUAGCCGAUGGUCUUGAGUACAUCACUGUGGUGCAGACAUGUCCCAUACAGUUAAAAGAGAAAGCACACACCAUCCAAGUGUGGUUCAGAGAAACUAAGUGCCAGUGACUGAAUAGAUAACUUGCAUAUCUCCAUGAACUUAACUUCAACAGAUAAGACAGGAGGACACUUACAGGUGUAACAUGGGAGACACAGAAAGGCAGGUAUGAACCCAAGCUGUUCCCAAGCUGGAACCAAGCUGGAGAGUACCACUCUCCACUUGAGACUAACAAUCUUCUUAAAGCAGACUGGUUGAAAGAGGAUGAUGCUUCCUUUCCAGUUUAUUCUUCUGGUCACAAUAUUUCCUUGAGAAAUGGGAGAAAACAUACUCGAAAGCUUCCAUCAGACCAAGCUAGAGAUUCUGCAUCCCAAAUGGAUAUAUGUCCCAGGACUGUUAAUUCCAAGAGUGCUAUGACGGGGGAAGCAUAUACUUCUCUUAAUUUUGUUAUACUAAGGACCUACAUGAUUUCAGGCCAUCUCCAUAUGCCUCAAGCUUGAUCCUUGUACUGUUCCAUUAUUCAUUUUUUUUCUAUCUUCAGAGUGCCAAAUUAAAAUAAUUUCUCCAAUAAAUUAAAAUAAUUUCUUCA